CCUACGGGAGGCAGCAGUAGGGAAUAUUGCUCAAUGGGGGAAACCCUGAAGCAGCAACGCCGCGUGGAGGAUGAAGGUUUUCGGAUUGUAAACUCCUUUUGUUAGAGAAGAUAAUGACGGUAUCUAACGAAUAAGCACCGGCUAACUCCGUGCCAGCAGCCGCGGUAAUACGGAGGGUGCAAGCGUUACCCGGAAUCACUGGGCGUAAAGAGCGCGUAGGCGGGAUAGCAAGUCAGAUGUGAAAUCCUAUGGCUUAACCAUAGAACUGCAGUUGAAACUGUUAUUCUAGAGUAUGGGAGAGGUAGGUGGAAUUCUUGGUGUAGGGGUAAAAUGCGUAGAGAUCAAGAGGAAUACUCAUUGCGAAGGCGACCUGCUAGAACAUAACUGACGCUGAUGCGCGAAAGCGUGGGGAGCAAACAGGAUUAGAUACCCCUGUAGUC
This 440-nucleotide ribosomal RNA is filed under the name uncultured bacterium. RNAcentral's name for it is "partial 16S ribosomal RNA". It matches the Rfam family "Bacterial small subunit ribosomal RNA", at positions 338 to 795 of the family's 1533-position model. The record is from RNAcentral.